AUUGCAAUUACUCCUAAUCCCUAUUAGGGAUUGAAAC
Molecule: non-coding RNA, 37 nt
Organism: Desertifilum sp.
Lineage: Bacteria; Bacillati; Cyanobacteriota; Cyanophyceae; Desertifilales; Desertifilaceae
Source: Rfam